RNAcentral lists this ribosomal RNA (605 nucleotides) under uncultured Polaribacter sp. RNAcentral describes it as "bacterial SSU rRNA". It matches the Rfam family "Bacterial small subunit ribosomal RNA", at positions 251 to 858 of the family's 1533-position model. The record is from RNAcentral. Lineage: Bacteria; Pseudomonadati; Bacteroidota; Flavobacteriia; Flavobacteriales; Flavobacteriaceae.
GGUAAGGUAACGGCUUACCAUGACAUCGAUAGGUAGGGGUCCUGAGAGGGAGAUCCCCCACACUGGUACUGAGACACGGACCAGACUCCUACGGGAGGCAGCAGUGAGGAAUAUUGGGCAAUGGAGGCAACUCUGACCCAGCCAUGCCGCGUGCAGGAAGACGGCCCUAUGGGUUGUAAACUGCUUUUAUACAGGAAGAAACACUGGUAUGUAUACCAGCUUGACGGUACUGUAAGAAUAAGGACCGGCUAACUCCGUGCCAGCAGCCGCGGUAAUACGGAGGGUCCGAGCGUUAUCCGGAAUCAUUGGGUUUAAAGGGUCCGCAGGCGGUCAAUUAAGUCAGAGGUGAAAUCCCAUAGCUCAACUAUGGAACUGCCUUUGAUACUGGUUGACUUGAGUCAUAUGGAAGUAGAUAGAAUGUGUAGUGUAGCGGUGAAAUGCAUAGAUAUUACACAGAAUACCGAUUGCGAAGGCAGUCUACUACGUAUGUACUGACGCUGAGGGACGAAAGCGUGGGGAGCGAACAGGAUUAGAUACCCUGGUAGUCCACGCCGUAAACGAUGGAUACUAGUUGUUUGGCAUUAGCUAAGUGACUAAGCGAAAGU